CCUACGGGGGGCAGCAGUGGGGGAUAUUGCACAAUGGGGGCAACCCUGAUGCAGCGACGCCGCGUGAGCGAUGAAGUACUUCGGUAUGUAAAGCUCUGUCAGCAGGGAAGAGAAUGACGGUACCUGACCAAGAAGCCACAGCAAAAUACGUGCCAGCAGCCGCGGUAAUACGUAUGGGGCAAGCGUUAUCCGGAUUUACUGGGUGUAAAGGGAGCGUAGGUGGCAUGGUAAGCUAGAAGUGAAAACCCAGGGCUCAACUCUGAGGAUUGCUUUUGGAAC
RNAcentral lists this ribosomal RNA (279 nucleotides) under uncultured bacterium. RNAcentral describes it as "partial 16S ribosomal RNA". It matches the Rfam family "Bacterial small subunit ribosomal RNA", at positions 338 to 633 of the family's 1533-position model. The record is from RNAcentral.